AGAGUUUGAUCCUGGCUCAGGAUGAACGCUGGCGGCGUGCUUAACACAUGCAAGUCGAACGAACCUUCGGGUUAGUGGCGGACGGGUGAGUAACGCGUGGGAAUCUGCCCUCAGGAGGGGGAUAACGGUUGGAAACGACCGCUAAUACCCCAUAUGCCGAGAGGUGAAAUGAAUUUCGCCUGAGGAUGAGCCCGCGUCUGAUUAGCUUGUUGGUGAGGUAAUGGCUCACCAAGGCUUCGAUCAGUAGCUGGUCUGAGAGGAUGAUCAGCCACACUGGGACUGAGACACGGCCCAGACUCCUACGGGAGGCAGCAGUGGGGAAUUUUCCGCAAUGGGCGAAAGCCUGACGGAGCAACGCCGCGUGAGGGAUGAAGGCCUCUGGGCUGUAAACCUCUUUUCUCAAGGAAGAAGAUAUGACGGUACUUGAGGAAUAAGCCACGGCUAAUUCCGUGCCAGCAGCCGCGGUAAUACGGGAGUGGCAAGCGUUAUCCGGAAUUAUUGGGCGUAAAGCGUCCGCAGGCGGCCCUUCAAGUCUGCUGUAAAAACGUGGAGCUUAACUCCAUCAUCGCAGUGGAAACUGUAGGGCUUGAGUGUGGUAGGGGCAGAGGGAAUUCCCGGUGUAGCGGUGAAAUGCGUAGAUAUCGGGAAGAACACCAGUGGCGAAGGCGCUCUGCUGGGCCAUAACUGACGCUCAUGGACGAAAGCCAGGGGAGCGAAAGGGAUUAGAUACCCCUGUAGUCCUGGCCGUAAACGAUGAACACUAGGUGUCGGGGGAAUCGACCCCCUCGGUGUCGUAGCUAACGCGUUAAGUGUUCCGCCUGGGGAGUACGCACGCAAGUGUGAAACUCAAAG
RNAcentral lists this ribosomal RNA (852 nucleotides) under Prochlorococcus sp. AG-363-C02. RNAcentral describes it as "bacterial SSU rRNA". It matches the Rfam family "Bacterial small subunit ribosomal RNA", at positions 8 to 906 of the family's 1533-position model. Lineage: Bacteria; Bacillati; Cyanobacteriota; Cyanophyceae; Synechococcales; Prochlorococcaceae. The record is from RNAcentral.